CGGACGGGUGAGUAACGCGUGGAAAACCUGCCGUAUACUGGGGGAUAACACUUAGAAAUAGGUGCUAAUACCGCAUAAGCGCACAGCUUCGCAUGAAGCGGUGUGAAAAACUCUGGUGGUAUACGAUGGUUCCGCGUCUGAUUAGCUAGUUGGUGGGGUAAUGGCCUACCAAGGCAACGAUCAGUAGCCGGCCUGAGAGAGUGAACGGCCACAUUGGGACUGAGACACGGCCCAAACUCCUACGGGAGGCAGCAG
RNAcentral lists this ribosomal RNA (255 nucleotides) under uncultured bacterium. Its description in RNAcentral is "partial 16S ribosomal RNA". It matches the Rfam family "Bacterial small subunit ribosomal RNA", at positions 99 to 354 of the family's 1533-position model. The record is from RNAcentral.